RNAcentral lists this ribosomal RNA (1478 nucleotides) under uncultured prokaryote. RNAcentral describes it as "partial 16S ribosomal RNA". It matches the Rfam family "Bacterial small subunit ribosomal RNA". The record is from RNAcentral.
UAGAGUUUGAUCCUGGCUCAGAUUGAACGCUGGCGGCAUGCCUAACACAUGCAAGUCGAACGGAAACGAUGCUAGCUUGCUAGCAGGCGUCGAGUGGCGCGAACGGGUGAGUAAUAUAUAGCUAACCUUCCCCUUAGAGAGGGACAACAGUUGGAAACGACUGCUAAUACCUCAUACUCCUUUCUACCAUAAGGUAGAUUGGAAACGCUCCGGCGCUAAGGGAUGGUGCUUUACGGUAUCAGUUAGUUGGUGGGGUAAAAGCCUACCAAGCCUAUGACGCCUAGCUGGUCUGAGAGGAUGAUCAGCCACACUGGAACUGAGACACGGUCCAGACUCCUACGGGAGGCAGCAGUGGGGAAUAUUGCACAAUGGAGGAAACUCUGAUGCAGCAACGCCGCGUGGAGGAUGACGCAUUUCGGUGUGUAAACUCCUUUUAUAUCCCAAGAUAAUGACGGUAGGAUAUGAAUAAGCACCGGCUAACUCCGUGCCAGCAGCCGCGGUAAUACGGAGGGUGCAAGCGUUAAUCGGAAUUACUGGGCGUAAAGGGCGCGUAGGCGGUCUUGUAAGUUGGAUGUGAAAGCCUACGGCUCAACCGUAGAACUGCAUCCAAAACUAUCAGGCUAGAGUGUGGGAGAGGAAGAUGGAAUUAGUUGUGUAGGGGUAAAAUCCGUAGAGAUAACUAGGAAUACCAAAAGCGAAGGCAAUUUUCUGGAACAGUACUGACGCUGAGAUGCGAAAGCGUGGGGAGCAAACAGGAUUAGAUACCCUGGUAGUCCACGCAGUAAACGAUGAAUGUUAGUCGUUGGGGUCCUAGUGACUUCAGUGAUGCAGCUAACGCAUUAAACAUUCCGCCUGGGGAGUACGGUCGCAAGAUUAAAACUCAAAGGAAUAGACGGGGACCCGCACAAGUGGUGGAGCAUGUGGUUUAAUUCGAAAAUACGCGAAGAACCUUACCAAGCCUUGACAUUGAUUGAAUCUGGUAGAGAUACCGGAGUGCUAGUUUACUAGAACAUGAAAACAGGUGCUGCACGGCUGUCGUCAGCUCGUGUCGUGAGAUGUUGGGUUAAGUCCCGCAACGAGCGCAACCCUCGUCGUUAGUUGCUAACAGUUCGGCUGAGCACUCUAGCGAGACUGCCUUCGCAAGGAGGAGGAAGGUGAGGACGACGUCAAGUCAUCAUGGCCCUUAUGGCUUGGGCUACACACGUGCUACAAUGGGGCGUACAGAGAGUUGCGAUACCGCGAGGUGGAGCCAAUCAAUAAACCUAAUCUCAGUUCGGAUUGGAGUCUGCAACUCGACUCCAUGAAGCUGGAAUCACUAGUAAUCGUAGAUCAGCAAUGCUACGGUGAAUACGUUCCCGGGUCUUGUACUCACCGCCCGUCACACCAUGGGAGUUGAUUUCGCUCGAAGCCGGAAUGCUAAAUUAGUUACCGUCCACAGUGGGCCCAGCGACUGGGGUGAAGUCGUAACAAGGUAACCA